Molecule: ribosomal RNA, 253 nt
Filed under: uncultured bacterium
Lineage: Bacteria
Description: partial 16S ribosomal RNA
Rfam family: Bacterial small subunit ribosomal RNA
Source: RNAcentral
UACGAAGGGGGCUAGCGUUGUUCGGAAUUACUGGGCGUAAAGCGCGCGCAGGCGGCUCUUCAAGUCAGGGGUGAAAGCCCAGAGCUCAACUCUGGAACUGCCUUUGAGACUGAAGAGCUUGAGUACGGGAGAGGUGAGUGGAAUUCCCAGUGUAGAGGUGAAAUUCGUAGAUAUUGGGAAGAACACCGGUGGCGAAGGCGACUUACUGGACACAUAUUGACGCUGAGGUGCGAAAGCGUGGGGAGCAAACAGG